CUGGCGGGUGCAUGAGGCAUGCAAGUCGAACGUGAAAGCCUUCGGGUGAGUAGCGUGGCGGACGGGCGAGUAACACGUAAUCAAGCUACCUGCCAGACGGGGAUAACUCAGGGAAACCUGAGCUAAGACCCGAUGGUCUUCCGGGAUCGCAUGUUCCUGGUCGUAAAUGGACGGGCUCCUUCGGGACCGUCUGCUGGCAGAGGUGAUUGCGGCCCAUCAGCUAGUUGGUAGGGUAAUGGCCUACCAAGGCAACGACGGGUAGCCGGCCUAAGAGGGUGGUCGGCCGCACUGGGACUGAGACACUGCCCAGACUCCUACGGGAGGCUGCAGUCGAGAAUCUUCCGCAAUGGGCGAAAGCCUGACGGAGCGACGCCGCGUGGAGGACGAAGGCCUUCGGGUUGUAAACUCCUGUCACGAGUUAAGAACGACCUGCGACGAACAGUCGUAGGUUUUGACGUAAGCUCGAGAGGAAGCACUGGCUAACUCUGUGCCAGCAGCCGCGGUAAUACAGAGAGUGCGAACGUUGUUCGGAAUUACUGGGCUUAAAGCGCGCGUAGGCGGCGAUACAAGUGUCGGGUGAAAUCCCACGGCUCACCCGUGGAACUGCCCGGCAAACUGUAUUGCUCGAGUGUGGUAGGGGAGAGCGGAACUCCUGGUGGAGCGGUGAAAUGCGUAGAUAUCAGGAGGAACACCGGUGGCGAAGGCGGCUCUCUGGUCCACAACUGACGCUGAGGCGCGAAAGCUAGGGGAGCAAACGGGAUUAGAUACCCCGGUAGUCCUAGCUGUAAACGAUGGGCACUAGCUUGGGGACUCCCUGUGU
Molecule: ribosomal RNA, 820 nt
Filed under: uncultured Planctomycetota bacterium
Lineage: Bacteria; Pseudomonadati; Planctomycetota
Description: bacterial SSU rRNA
Rfam family: Bacterial small subunit ribosomal RNA
Source: RNAcentral